This 253-nucleotide ribosomal RNA is filed under the name uncultured bacterium. RNAcentral's name for it is "partial 16S ribosomal RNA". It matches the Rfam family "Bacterial small subunit ribosomal RNA", at positions 524 to 776 of the family's 1533-position model. The record is from RNAcentral.
UACGAAGGGUGCUAGCGUUGUUCGGAAUUACUGGGCGUAAAGCGCGCGUAGGCGGUUCAACAAGUCAGAGGUGAAAGCCCUGGGCUCAACCCAGGAAUUGCCUUUGAAACUGUUGGACUAGAGUGUCGGAGGGGAUAGCGGAAUUGCUAAUGUAGAGGUGAAAUUCGUAGAUAUUAGCAGGAACACCGGUGGCGAAGGCGGCUAUCUGGACGACAACUGACGCUGAGGCGCGAAAGCACGGGGAUCAAACAGG